CCCUUAGAUGUCCUGGGCCGCACGCGCGCUACACUGACAUGUUCAACAAGUUUCUCCUAGUUCGACAGGACUGGGAAAUCUUUGAACGCAUGUCGUGAUAGGGAUAGAUCAUUGCAAUUAUUGAUCUUGAACGAGGAAUUCCUAGUAAACGCGAGUCAUCUGCUCGCAUUGAUUACGUCCCUGCCCUUUGUACACACCGCCCGUCGCACCUACCGAUUGAAUGUUUCGGUGAAGAUUCCGGAUAGGACUGAUUUGAUUUAUUUCAUUUCUGACCUAAAAGCUAUCUAAACCUCAACAUUUAGAGGAAGGUGAAGUCGUAACA
RNAcentral lists this ribosomal RNA (322 nucleotides) under uncultured eukaryote. Its description in RNAcentral is "partial 18S ribosomal RNA". It matches the Rfam family "Eukaryotic small subunit ribosomal RNA", at positions 1470 to 1796 of the family's 1831-position model. The record is from RNAcentral.